CACCGCGGUUAUACGAGAGGCCCCAGUUGAUAGGUACGGCGUAAAGAGUGGUUAGUGAGUACACCCAACUAAAGCCGAAGACCCCCUAGGCCGUCAUACGCACCUGGGGGCACGAAGCCCCAUCACGAAAGUAGCUUUACCCAACCCUCGACCCCACGACAGCUGAGAUA
This 170-nucleotide ribosomal RNA is filed under the name Bathylaco nigricans (black warrior). Its description in RNAcentral is "partial 12S rRNA". The record is from RNAcentral. Lineage: Eukaryota; Metazoa; Chordata; Actinopteri; Alepocephaliformes; Alepocephalidae.